CCCUCGUGCAUCACCAGGACAACGGGGCGAGCUCGCGCCCGGGGCCCCCCGCGGCGCCCGGCCCGGCCGCAGCGUUGCCAUGCCAAUCCAUGUUGCUGAUGUGUCUGAACAUAAACUGUUCAAUCGAAACUACCAUUUCCUUGGAUCACAAAUGGGAAAUGUAUUCUCAAGCAGUGAUGAAGCUCUUAUUAACAAAAAGUUACCCAAAGAACUUCUAUUAAGAAUAUUUUCCUUCUUGGAUAUAGUCACUCUGUGUCGCUGUGCACAGAUUUCUAAGGCUUGGAAUGUCUUAGCCCUGGAUGGAAGCAACUGGCAAAGAAUAGACCUUUUUAACUUCCAGACAGAUAUAGAGGGCCGAGUGGUGGAGAAUAUUUCCAAACGGUGCGGAGGUUUCCUGAGACAGCUGAGCUUGAGAGGGUGCCUCGGUGUCGGUGACUCUUCCUUAAAGACCUUCGCUCAGAACUGCAGGAACAUUGAACACCUAAACCUCAAUGGAUGCACAAAAAUCACAGACAGCACGUGUUACAGCCUUAGCAAGUUCUGCUCCAAGCUGAAGCACCUGGACCUGACUUCCUGCGUCUCCAUCACCAACAGCUCUCUGAAAGGUUUGAGCGAGGGAUGCAGGAAUCUGGAGCAUUUGAAUCUUUCUUGGUGCGACCAAGUUACGAAGGAGGGUAUCGAGGCCCUGGUGAAAGGCUGCAGUGGGCUGAAGGCCCUGUUCCUGAGAGGGUGUACCCAGUUAGAAGACGAAGCCCUGAAGCACAUCCAGAAUCACUGCCACGAACUGGUCAUCCUGAACUUGCAGUCCUGCACGCAAAUUUCAGACGAAGGCAUUGUGAAAAUCUGCCGAGGCUGCCACAGACUUCAGGCCCUUUGCGUUUCCGGCUGCAGCAAUCUGACAGACGCCUCCCUCACAGCCCUUGGUCUGAACUGCCCCAGUUUGAAGAUUUUGGAGGCCGCCCGCUGCUCCCAUUUGACCGACGCAGGCUUUACGCUCUUAGCUCGGAAUUGCCAUGAACUUGAAAAGAUGGACUUGGAAGAAUGCAUUCUGAUAACCGACAGCACGUUGAUCCAACUCUCGGUUCACUGUCCUAGGCUGCAGGCACUGAGCCUGUCCCACUGCGAGCUGAUCACGGACGACGGCAUCCUGCACUUGAGCAGCAGCCCCUGUGGGCAGGAGAGGCUGCAGGUGCUGGAGCUGGACAACUGCCUGCUCAUCACGGACGUGACCCUGGAGCACCUGGAGAGCUGCCGCAGCCUGGAGAGGAUCGAGCUCUACGACUGCCAGCAGGUCACGCGGGCCGGCAUCAAGAGGAUCCGGGCCCACCUCCCAGACGUCAAAGUCCACGCUUACUUCGCCCCGGUCACGCCGCCUCCCUCGGUCGGGGGGAGCGGGCAGCGGCUCUGCAGAUGCUGCGUCAUCCUUUGACGGGAGAGGCGGGAGCGCUCCCUCCCACAGACGUUGGGCCGCCGGACGUCGCCCCCUCCCCACCCCCCGACCCCGGAGAGCCGACGGGAGAGCGCUUCGACCUCACGCCCGCUCCGGUCGGCCGUUCCCCUCGGGACGGAGCCCCCGUCCACCGAGGCGGCGUCGAGGUAAAAGAGACCCAUCCCUCGGCCGCCGCCGGCUUCUCGCCGCCUCCCCCGACGGGCCGGGAGGGCCGCGGGGGAGAGGCCUCGGAAAGCUGCCGAACCGCCUCCUUCUCUAAGGUCACACCUCGUACAUCCUCGGCGUCGCUAAACAUCUCUCGCCCUAAGGACCGACCGACGGACGCGAGCACGAGGUGAGCAGGUCGGGGGAGACCGCUUGAGCCAGGGUCACGGCUCCCACGCCCCCCUCUCCCCGCAGGUCCCCCAGGCUUGGAAAUCCUCCUCGUCGAGCGGAGGUCCCCAAGCAGCCGUCUCAAAACCCGGAGAGACCCCGGGGAGGGCUUAGCGGAGACCAGGGGGACGAGGCCCUCGCCGCUCGAUAAAACUCACGACCCCGCUGGCCGAAAAGCGUCCCGUUUCCGGCCGGGAACGUUUCGGGCUGGCGAAAACCACCCCUCUGGAUUCCGGGAACCAGAGGGCCGGUUUUCUACGCCCGCCGCCUCCGAGGAGAGACCCCGGACGCUCCGUUUCGAGUCGGGGUGAAGGGCUCCCGGCUAGAUGUGAGCCGUCGAGUAACGGGGUCCGCUCCCAGCCCAAGGUGGAAAGAAGCGGGACGCCCGAACCUCGGCCUCGUGGUUGCCGGGACCGAUCGUCCCGGGCGCGGAGCGGCGUUGCCCUGGACGCGCAGCCGGGGGUGCGUGUGGCGGCGGGGGAGGCGUGCUCGUCGGCUCAGUUUGCGGGACACUCACCUUAUUCCGAAAAAUGUAUAGGCCUUCCUUCCAUCCGAUCAAAAUGUGGACAUGGUGACGAGGCAGCGUUUUCUCUCAUGGCUUCUUCUUCCUCCGUCCACUUGCGCUUCAGUGAUUUCAAUGGAGAGCCGGGCCCCGCCGCCGAAACGGAGCUGCUGCCGGGGAGAGCGCGUGAGGACGCCGGCGCUGGAGUCGGGGGUCAGUAUUCCCUUAGAUGAGUUUCUGCCGGAGGAGGGAAAGGGAAUUUAAAACCCCAACUCCCGUCUGCCCGAGGGAGGCCGAAAAACCCACCCGGCGUCCUUGGGAGACGCUGCCCAGGGGCAGGAAUUACAAACCAGCGGCACGGGGACGGAGUGAUUGGAAAACAUUUAUUAUACGGAAAUGUGUACACCCGACUAUUUAAAAACCAAACGGCCCGCGGCCGGUGCCGUCGCUUGCUGAUCUCCAGUGACGGGGAGGGUUAAGACUGUACGGUUUUUCGGCGCAAUCUGAACCUUCCCUCCAGAGAUUCUCUUCUCCCCGCUCCCUUUCCGCCAGCCGAAAUGGCCCAGGUCCCUGCCGGUACCCAAAGGGAGGAGCAUCAGAUAAAGCAGAAACAAAUACUUAACAGGAGUCACGGGCUUCCGCUUGGCUUCGAUGAAAAGCGUUUUCCUUUUUCAGUGCGCAAAACAGAGAACAAGCUUCCGGGGUUUAAAAGGCAAUAGAGAUGUCGGAUAGGCAAUGGUUUCUGGUGCGUGCUAAACUCUUAAUCCAAUUCUGACCGCGACAGGCAAAGGCAUUUCUCCUAAGGUACUGGGUGUUUCUCCUCAACUGCUGGAGGCAUUCGACGACUCCUCUACUUUUCUACGCCUGAGAAUCAAUCGGUUGAGUGAGCACUGGUGGCAACAAGUAUCAGGGGACGAGAACAGGGGGACGAAGGAGACCUAGCAAUCCAAAAAAGGGGCUUAUCUUAUUCACCGACGACUCCCUGGACCCUGUUUUUAGACGUGCAUUGCUUUAAGCUUACCGUUUGUGGAUGAAAGGAUCCAAGACCCCGGAAGAGUACUUGCCCACAGACUGUUUUAGUCCUGUCGCCCUCCCCCCCCCCGAU
RNA transcript from Ornithorhynchus anatinus (platypus), 3429 nucleotides. It is a transcript of the gene named F-box and leucine rich repeat protein 2, with no coding region annotated. The record is from RefSeq and is a predicted model, not a curated record. The transcript is spliced from 17 exons. Lineage: Eukaryota; Metazoa; Chordata; Mammalia; Monotremata; Ornithorhynchidae.